RNAcentral lists this long non-coding RNA (26193 nucleotides) under Cicer arietinum (chickpea). RNAcentral's name for it is "long non-coding RNA (CARI_LNC000527)". Lineage: Eukaryota; Viridiplantae; Streptophyta; Magnoliopsida; Fabales; Fabaceae. The record is from RNAcentral.
CAUUUUAGCUGAUGAAACAACAAGUGUUUGUCUUGAACCAAGUUUAAGGAAGACUAAAGAGCCAUAUUUCUUUGAGAGUUCAUGGAAGUCUACACCAAGAACUGAACUAUCAAGUUGGUGUAAGUUUCCAAUUAAUGGAAGGCCUUUAGGUCCUGGUGGAAGAUUUGGUUUCUUAGAUGUUUUGUGUUUUUUGAAGAAGAAGAAUAGCAAGAGAGCAAAAGCUAGAAGAGCAAGUGGUAACAUGUUUUGGUUUAUGAAUUAGGGACAACUAUCUAGCUAUUGUAAUCUCAUGUGGUUCUGUGUUUGUGUCUAAAUAUGCAUGUGUAUAUAUUGGAAAUGCUAAGGGAGAGUUGAGAGGGAUAUAUUUGAAUAAUGUUAUAUCACUCUAUAAAAUGUUUGUACCAAAGUUAAUAUCUAUCUCAGAAGCAAACAAACACCAUAAUAUAAUAAAAUGAAAAAUUAAACAAGACGCAUCAAGACGGCGGUGAAUAAAAUAACAUUAUGUUUAGAUAACAAAUUACUUGUAAAACAUAAACAAAAAAAACUAAAUCCAUAUAGAAAUCAAUUAUAAGUAAGAUCUAUCUACUUUCAUACUUAAAAAUAUUUUAAAAAGUAUGAUAGUUAAAGACAUUCAAUUUUUUUGAUUUCACAUAAAAAAAAUACAAUUACUAACUUAUCUUUAAUUAUUUUUUCUACUGAUACUUGUCCUUAAUUAUAAUUGUCAUCUUUCACAAUAUUAAAAAAUUAAUGCAAUGAUAUUUAUGGAACAAUUUUAUUAUAUAAGUUUAAAUGUACGUUUGAUCCUUCAAAUUUUUCAACGGUGCAAUUUUAAUUCUUACUUUUUCUUCUUUGUAUUUCUUAGUUCCUAUUCUAAUUUUAACCAAAAUUUACUGAUGUAUAUUUUCAGAGUUUUCUACCAAACAUCUCCACAAUUGUACCUGCCCCCUCAAAAUACAUAAAAAGACAAUUUUACCUCACACAAGGCCCACAACUCACAUCAUAUAAUGAUAAUGAUGACUUUGCAACAUCUUCUAGAAAGACAUAAACACAAUAAUAGAGGUAACUAAUUUCCAAAGGCUGCUCAAUAUUCACCUCCACUAGGAGGAAAACAAUGUCCGCUUCAAUUUUUGGCUAAAUUACAUAUGUAGUCCUUUAAUUUAACUUUAGGUAACGUUUUAGUCCUUUAUCUUUUUUUUCCCCGAUUUAGUCCUUUAUUCUUAACAAUAUCAAAUAAAGUAUGAAAAUAUGAGUUUAUUUGAAGAUUUGCGUUACGAAUUUGAUGAAAUUUGUAUUAUAUUGAAGAAUAUAAUUAAUUUUAUGAGUUUUGAUUGAAUUUUUUUUUGAAUUUUUGUAUAAAAAAGGAUAACAUUGUUGAAAUUUUAAAACAUAAAAUAUCAAAUUGUCGCUUAAAAUUAAAAUAAGAGACCAAAUCGGGAAAAAAAAAGAUAAAUGACUAAAACGUUACUUAAAAUUAAGUUAAAGGACCACAAAUGUAAUUUAGCCUCAAUUUUUUUCUUUGAUAGCAACGUGUUCUUCAUUCUGUGUCGUAAUUUUGAUUCGUUUCUAUAUAUGAUUUUCCUUUAUUUUCUUCCCAAUAAAUAUAUUAUCUAAAUUCUACACUAUAAAAAAAAUUUGUAUACUUACGGAAAGUAGGUAAAUUAUUUAAUAUUUACGGAAAAACUGUGAGUAAAUUUGUUAUUGAAUAAAUUAAUUUUUUAAAUUAGAUUUCAUAGUUAGUCCGUAAAUAAAAUUAAAAAAAUAUGUGAAUAAAGUUUAAAAAAAUGCAAUUCAAAUUUAAGUUGUCGAAGUUUCUUCAUUUUUUUUUAUGAUUGAUUCUCCAUAGAUAAAUGAAGAGAAUUAAUAUAAGUUGUUUACGGAUUAUAUGUAGAUAAAGUAAAAAUAAAGUUUUAUUUAUUAUCAAUUUUUUUAAAAAAAAAAAAAAAAAACUUAUUAUUUUCCGUUGUUAAACAAAACUAAAUCGGACGUAUACCACAAACCUGCUUCAUACCUUGACUCUCAACUCUUCAAAGUUCCAUUUGCUUCAGCGGGUUCCUUUUGGUGGUGGAAGAUUUGGUUUCUUAGAUGUUGUGUUUUUUUUUUUUUUUGAAGAAGAAAAUAGCAAGAGAGCAAAAGCUAGAAGAACAAGCGGUAACAUGUUUUGGUUUAUGAAUUAGGAACAACUAUCUAGCUAUUAUAUCUGGUUGUGUGUAAAUAUGCAUGUGUAUAUAUGGGAAAUAUUAAGGGAGAUAGAUGGGUUACAUUUGAAUCCCUCAAUAAAUGUUUUUAUUAUAGUUAAUAUGUCAAUUUGAAUCAAACAAACACCAUAAAUUUUAGCUAUUUUGGUCCUCUAAUUUUAUCCUCUUUGUGAUUUCUUAGUCCUGAUUUCAAUUUGGAUUAAAAUUUGUUAAUUUAUAUUUUUAUUGACACGUGUCUCUCAAUAAUAAUUGAUUUACAGUGUGGCUCAAUAACAAUUGUACACGUGUGAAUAAAAAUACAAGUCAACAAAUUUUAGUCAAAAUUGGAAUGAGGAACUAAAAAUAAGACAGGAGAUAAAAAUUAAAAUCGCACAAUUAAAAAACUUGAGGGAAAAAAAGUGCAUUUAAACCUAUUAAACAAAGGUAGAUUAAUCUAUUUUUUCUUAUAUUUGAGUUAUAUAAUAAUUAGGUAUGAGAAUAGUCCGUUAAGGGCAUUGGUCUGACCUAUUUAUGGGUUUGUGUGGUUUGACUUGUUUAAUAAAAAGAUUAUGCUCGAAUUUUUUUAAAUUAUAUUAAUGUAAUAGAUAAAACUCAGACUUGCAAAAAAACCUAUUAAACCCGAUAAGCUGACAUAUAUAUAUAUAUAUAUAUAUAUAAUUUAUUAACGUUGUUAUUUUUUAUUAUUAUUUUAAAUUUGUUAAUUAUGAAUUUAUUUUGUUUAUUUAUUUUUUUAGAAGGUUGUUGCAUACUUGCUAGUUAUAGUUUUAUUAGAUUUGAUUAUAUAUAAAGACAUAGUUUAACCUAUUUAAAAAAAUAUAUAUAAAAUAUACUAUUUAAAAUGUGUGAAAUAGGCUUUUAAAUAGGUUUUCAGGUCAGACCAUACUUUUUAAAAAAGUCAGAUCAAGCCAGAAAAAAAAAAAAAACUUAUGAUAGGCCGUAGGUCAAACUCAGACCGAAAAAAUUAAGCGUAAAUCAAGCUCAUGCCUUUCAAAGUCUGACUUGAUUUGACAUAUCUCCACUCCUAAUAACAAUACAUCCAUUUUUAUUUAUUAUUAAGGUCCACCAUAGUACAAUUAAAGAGUUGUCAAAUAAUUUUUUUCCCUCAUUAACAAUCAUUAGAUUAAAAUAAAUUAUUAAGAACAAUGACAUGGCCUUUGUAAAGCCUACUUUACAAGGUUAAAUAUAUUUUUAAUUUUUUUUAUAAAAUUAAGAUCUUUUAAAUUAUUUUUAGUUUAUGCUUUGAUUUAUCGAGAUUUUUUUGAAAUUAAAAGUAUUAAUUUUUUAUAUAUAUAUUUUUUUUUAAAAUAGAGACUAAAAGUGAUUAAAAUUAUUUUAGAGACUAAAAAGUUAAAAAUUAUUUUAUAAAAAUUAAAAUUUUAAAAUAAUAAAAAAAAAUUUAACCAUUUAUUAUAUAAACUAGUGCUCAAAUGGCCACUAAACGUGUUCGUUUGUCUGUUGUUAUCAAUAAAAAAUUGAAAUUACAAAAUUUAAUACAAACUCAGUUGACGAUGCUCAAUUGAUGGCGAUACUCAGUUGCCGGAGUUGUGGGGAAUGAUGACGACAUAUGGGUCACACACAAUGAAUUGCGUGAAGAAGAUUUGUGAUAGUAAAAAUUCGUGUAUGUUUUUAAGUUUGUUUUAAAAUAAAUAAUUUUAAAUAAUAAACAUAAAGUAUUUAUAUCCAACGAAUGAGAUGCCUUAAUAAGUAUGGUGUAGGUCCUGCCAUAAAGAUAGGCAAUCUUGAUCCUAGGAGAUAAGGUAUUCAUGAAUCAUGAUAGUAAUAGUAUAGUACAUUCUCUUUUCUUUGCAAAAAUCAUGUAGGAUUAUACAAUUUUUCUAAAAAUAUUAUCGGUAUUUGUAUUAAAAUUAUUACAUUUAAGAAUAAGUUUUUUAUCCCUAAAUAUAUUACCCCUUCAAUAUUUCCUUGCUUGGAUUUGAUAUUUGAAAUUAAAAAAUAUUCUAUGAGAAAAGAUAUAAAAAUUGUGGAAUCACUACAAGAAGAUUGACUUCUAAUGACAGACAAAGUUGUCAAGGUUAAAAUGUUUUGAGUGACACCUGAAUCUGCCGUCAAUACCGUCAACUUUAAGGGGCCUUUUGCUAUGUUCUAAGGACUGACACUACAUAUUUUGAGGACUGUCAUUACAUGUUUUUUAUUUCUACCUAUUAUGAUGACUGUCAUUAAAAACUAGAUAAAUAUAAAUAAAUAAUUGAUAUAUUCCUACGAUGUUGUUUGUCACUAAAACUUAUUAUUAUUUAUUAAAUUAAAUUUAUUUCAUCUCAUUACUAAUUGUAACUAUAAAUUAUUAUUACCAGUGAAUUAAAUUAAAAUUUCUAAUUUUUUUUAUUAACUAAUUCCAUUAAACUUACAAUAAAAUAUAAUAUAAUUUUACUAAUUUCAUUAUAUGAAUGUUACUUGCAUUCCUAGCAUUUUACCUAUAGUACUAAGAUGAGUAUCCUAUCCUUGUGGCAAUAUUGAAAUAAAAUUAUGAACAUUAGAAUUUUAUGAAUAGAAAUUUCAUCAACAAAUUUUUUUUCACUAAUUAGAUCAUAAAAUCUUCGUAAAAGUGAGACAAUUGUUGAUUUUCCAGAACCACUUCCUCUAACUAAUGUCAAUAUUUUAUUUGAUGAAACUUUUAGAUAAAAUACGAAUGCUCCACGAGUUUCAGUUCAUCCAACUUCUUUCUCUGCGUUUCUUCUAUCUCACGCGGAUAGAGUUUCUAACUAACAUAAGACAAUCAUAUACAAAACAUUCUAUUGAUCCUAACACUCCAAGCCAAGUUUAAUUUAUUAGACAGGCUACAAAAGGUAGCAGCAAAUUCACAUGCAGGUAAGUCAAAACUCAUGAUCCCAACUAGUGAUCCUAGCAACAAAAUUUAUAUGAAUUACAAAGUAUAUACAACAUCAUUGAAGGAAUAUACAUGUUAAGAAAAAUUAUACGAUACUAUUUCAACAAAAUCCUUCAAUCAAACCAAGGACAAAUUUAAUAUAAUUCAACUAACAAAGAAUAACAAAAAGUAAAAUAACAUAAUCCAAGAAAUAAGCACUACUCAUAUCAAAUUGAAACCCCAAAUACACAAGCAUAAACAAAUGAUAUGCAUACUAUAGCUAAUCAAACAACCAAAAUACCAUUAAAUAAACUUAAUAACCCAUACAAAACAAUUGUGGCCAUAGGAAUACAAUCCAUGCAAUUCAAAAUUUGAAAACAAAAAAAAUUCAAAUUGAUGAUAUAUGAUUUAAUUUAUCGAAUCGAUGAUCCCAAUAGACAUUAAAUAUUAAUUCAACCAAAAAUAUCACAUGAACUGUAUAAGCAUGAAACAAAAUAACAAUAUCAGACAUGAACUAGUUGAAAAUUAACCUGAGCUUGAAGAUGAGAAACUCCAUAUUAGCAAGUGAUAUGAGCACCCUACUGGAUGUUAUUCUAGUGACUGGUGAAAAAGUGUCGAAGAAAUCUAUAUUUUCUAUUUGUCUAAAACCUUUGGCUACAAGGCGUGCCUUGUAUUUAUCAACAGUUCCAUCAGGUGUUAGUUUCUUUUUCAAGAUCCAUUUACAACCUAUUGGUUUGCAACCAAGAGGCAUGUCUACUAAAUGCCAGGUCUUGUUAGAACUAAAAUCAAUCAAAUCAUUCAACCAAUGCAAAUUGCAAAUAAAGGAAAAAUGAUUUUCACUUACUCGUGAAUCCCCGAAUCACUAAGUCGUAGAUCGUAUGAGAAAUCUGAAUUAAGGAAAAGGAUUGAAGAUGAACACUUAUUGGAUAGGAAAUUGAAAGAAUCGGUUAAAGAGGGAAUCGAAGAAAAUUUAACAAAACUACUACAACAAAACCCUUAUUUUGUUGCGGCCAAAAAUCCUCACAAAGAGAGGAAAUCAUCCACAACAGACACAUUUAUGGCGGCUUAAGGCAGCGAUAACUAACCCAGUCACAAAGUUUUAUGGCGGCCAAAACAACCACAAAAGCUAGUUUUUUGGUUACCAUUUGUGGGGGCUUAGACCGCCACAAAUAAUAAAAUUGAUUUAAAAAUCCACAGUUUGUGGGGGCCAAAGCCUACACAAAUUCUCCCUUUUUGAUGGCCUAGGAAUCAUAAAAUGCUGCAUUUAUGGCGGCCAAUAGACUCACAAUUCUCCAACAAUUGAUUUUAUGGCGGCAUAAGUAAUCACAAUGCUCUAACGAGCUAAUUUUGUGGCGGCCUAAGCCAUCACAAUGCUCAAACGUUAUGAUUUUGUGAGGGUAUAUGCCGCCACAAAAUCAUGUUGAUAUGUUCAAUCAAAAGGUCUAGAGGUGUUCUGUAGGCAAACACCAAAACUGCCCCUCUUAGACUUUCGUAGAAUACAAUGAUCACAAGAUUCAAAAUUUCCAAUUUUGUCACCAUUAAGCAAAUUUUGUUUUGAUAACUCAAUUAAUCCUCUUUCACUUACAUGUCCUAACCUCAUAUGCCACAUUCUAGUAGAUGAAUGCAAAUAAGAGCUAGCAACAUAAGCUUGUGCAACUAUAGUUGAACCUUUUAAAAUAUACAAGUCAUUUCUUUUAAUGCCUUUAACAAUGAUAUCAUCUUUACUAACAAUAGUCAUAAUACCAUUCUUUAUGUAUGUUGAAUAUCCUAGUAUGUCAAACAUACCAACAGAAAAUAAAUUUCUUUUUAAUUCAGGUAUUUACCUUACAUCAUUCAGCAGUACCUCGUUGCCAUUGAACAUUCUAAAUCUGAUUGUUCCUUUGCCUUGGACUUUACAUGAUUUGUUGUUCCCAAGCAGAACGACUCCACCAUCACGAAGAUCUAUUUAUUCAAAAUAAUCGUUUCUUGGACACAUGUGGAAAGUACAACCUGGGUCUAAUACCCAGUUUUUUUCACCUUCAGAAUUUGAAAUCAUCAAUGCCUCUUCAGAUUUAUAAACAACUACAACAAAUGCAACAAUUCCUUAAUCUUGAGAAUUCCUUGAUUCAUUUCUUCCAAGGCAAUCUUUUCUGAAAUGUCCUUUCUUGUGACAAUCGAAGCAUUUAUACUUCCCAUAGAUUUUGAUUUUGAAUUGGACCUAAGCUUAUUUCCAUUUGAUAAUUUCUCGUUAACUCUUCAUCUGAGACUUUGAGCAUGAUUAUCAUUCUUGAUCUCAAGUCUUUUAUAGUUUUCCUUUAUCUGGAUGGAGGCAUGCAAUUCUUCAAGAGUAAUUAUUUGUUCUCUUCCAAACAUAAUAGCAUUCUUGAAAUGUUCAUAUGAACUUGGCAGGGCUAUAAGCAAGAUCAGAGCUUUGUGAUAUAGAGGUAAUAACUCGAAUCGUUUUCGCAAGGACUUCUGAUAUAAUAAUAAUAACCAAAUUGAAAAUUGAAAAUUGAAAUUAAAAAGGGUUUUUUUAGAUUUUUGAUUUAACAGAUGAGCAAAACGAUUAAUCCACUUAUUCGAGUUUCAGACCUAUCACAAAUUCUAUCAAUGAGUUUAUUUCUAAUUUGUGAUUCUAUUCAUAUUUGACUAUAUAAUUGAUCAAACAAGCGUAAUCAAUCCUAUGUGAAUUUGGUUUCUUUGAUUGGAUUAAGCAUCACAAUCAUCAAAAUAUUACAAUUAACGAUCAAGCGUCGCAAAAUUAUAAUUCAAUUAAAUUAGAAACCGAAACCAAAUUCUGUCAAAAAAAUUUAAUCAAUCCUAUUGAAAUUCAAUUUAAGCAAUCAAAAUAUCAAUAUAAUAAAAUAAACAAGAAUAGAAUCAUUAAUCGAAAUUGAUAGUAUAACCUGAAUCUCAAGGUGUUGAUGAAACUCUGAACUCGUAGAUUAAUCUUAUAAAAUUAGCCUUUCAUGAAAUUAAAAUAAAGCUGUUUAUUUUUUGUAGCAAUUUGAAUCCUAAUUUUUUCGUGUCUAGAAAAGAAACAAAAAUGCCAAUAUAUAGCACUUGAUAUUGGGCUUUAGGGUUUAGGGUUUAAAAACAAGUGACGCACUAAUUAAAAUUAUUACGAAAGUCAUGAUUACAAAAUCUGCAAUUUAGGCCCAGUAAAAUUCAGAAUUGGUAUUUUCUUCCAACACAAAAGUUGUAGCUCAUAUGUUUAUCUUUCCAACGCCUGCUCAUAUGCGCCAAUCCGAUAUCCAGAGCUUAGGUUAUGAGCUACAGAGCGAGAAAGAGUCAAAAUACAAAUAAUAAAAUUAAAAUGCAAAUAAUAAAAUUAUAAUUCAAAUUCGACCCAAAGUUUAGAAACAAGCUAAAAAUAUUAACCUAAGCUAUAAAAAGAUUUUAAAAUACCAAACUAAAAAGCUAAAAACAUGUGCCCAAAUACUAUGAUCACUUUGUCUUCAUCAUCUAGCUUGACUUCUGAGUUCUCUAAAUCAUUAAGGAUCUUGUUAAAAUCAGUAAGUUGCACUAUGACAUAUUUCUUUUUAUCCAUUUUAAAAGAGAACAAUUGUUGCUUCAAGAAGAGCCUAUUUGAAAUUGAUUUAGUCAUGUAGAGAGAUUCAAGUUUAAGCCAUAAGGCUACUGCUGUUGGUUCCCUUGCAACUUCCCUCAAAGUUUUGUCUCCAAGACACAAGAUGAUAGUGCUCUUUGCUUUUUCAAUCAAUUAUUCCUUUUUUUUUUCCUGCAGUCAUUAUUGUUGGAAGAGCUAAUUCACCCUUCAAUGCGUUCACCAAGCCUUGAUGUACCAGAACAACAUGCAUUUUUAUCUUCCAUAGAUCAAAAUCAUUUGAUCCAUUGAAUAUUUCAAUGUCAAAUUUUGUGGUUCCAACCAUUGUUGCUCCCUUUUCCCACAGACGGUGCCCAAUUGUUAAAAUAAUAUUGGGAUCUGCAAAAAAAAUUAACCAACAAAAUAGAAGAGAAACAAUUGUAGAGAAAAAAACGAAAAUGAAGAACAUUUUUGGUUUUCUGCUGAAAACGGAGAACGUUCUUGAACAGAACUGAAAACCAGAAAACGAAGAUUGUUUAUUGUUCUCCUUUCAGCAGUUUUGAAAACCAGUUUUCAAACAAUGUAAACGAAAAUUAAAAAAAAAAAAAAAAGAUAAGAGGAGAAUAACACUCAGAUUUACGUGUUCAACCUUAAUUGAUGAGACAUACGUCACAUGCAAGCUAGCAAAACAAUUCACUAUGAAUGUUUGAAUUUACAAGAUUAAGGUCUCUUCAAGAUUGUUCACCUAGUCUUCACUAGUAUUCUCUUUUCACACAAUCUCUCUUUUUUCCUUAAUCUUCUUUUUGAUUUCCUGUGAAUCACGAACUGUUUAUGCCUGACUCUUUCUCAGCAAUCAUUGCUACUACAUACAUCAAUACACUACAACUUGCAUUUACAAUUAUAGUAUUUAAAGUCACAUUGUUUAACUAACUAUAAUAACCUUUGUCAUAACUAAUUCAGUUAUAAUAAUAAAUAACUCCAAGUUUGUUGCUAUUUGAGGCAUAUUUCCACAAUUCUCCAUCUUGACUCAAUAUCAGAAUAAUUCAUUCAUUGACCUUGCUGCCACUACUUCAACUUUACUCUUUGUAAAAGCCAACUAAGUCCAUGCAAUGCUUGAACUUAGCUUGUGAAAAUGAUUUGUGAACUUAGCUUGUGAAAGUGAUUUGGUGAAUGUAUCAGUUGGGUUAUUCUCAGUUGCAAUCUUCUCAACUGAAACCUGGUUUGAAUCAAUCACAUCCCUUAUGAAGUGAUACUGAACAUCAAUGUGUUUAGAUUUAUUAUGAUACACUUGAUGCUUGAAUAAGUGUAUAGCACUUUGACUGUCACAAUAAAUUGAAACACAAUUCUGAUUUAUUCCUAGUUCACCAAUAAGUUCUUUCAUCCAUAAAGCUUCUUUAACACCUUUAGUAAGCACAAUGAAUUCAGCUUGAGUUGUAGAAAGUGCUACCACCGACUGUGUAAUUGUUCUCCAACUUACAGCAGUCCCAUAUAGAGAGAAAACACAACCACAAAUUGAUUUUCUAGUGUCCAUGUUUUCAGCAUAAUCUGAGUCCACAUAUCCUUUGAUUGGUUCCUUGUCAUGAUAAGUCUUUUGGAACUUUAAACUUGUUGUCAGUGAGCCAUUUAAGUACCACAUAAUCCACUUGAGUACUGACCAAUGCAGUGCUCCUAGAUCAGUCAUAAAUCUACUGACAACAUUCACAACAUAAGCCAAAUCUGGCUUGCUACAGAUCAUUCCAUACAUUAUGCUGCCAACUCCACUAGCAUAAGGAAUGAUACUCAUUCUUUGUUUUUCCUCAUCAGUCUUAGGCGAGUCUUGCAUAGACAAUUUGUAAUUCUAUCCCAAAUGAGUAGUAACUUGUCUUGCCUCAUGCAUUCUAUAUUUAGUGACAACUUUCUUCAAGUAGACAACUAGAGAAAGAAAUAGUUCCCCCUUCAUUCUGUUUCUUUUUAUAUCCAUUCCUAAGAUCAUUUUGGCCUCUCCAAGUUCUUUCAUCUCAAACUAUUUCUAAGAUCAUCUUUGAGCCUUUUAAUAUGGUCUUUACUUGAGCUUGCAAGGAUAAUAUCAUCCACAUAGAGUAAUAGGUAUGUUGGAGAACAUUCUUGACUUUCCUGAAAAACUGGAGAAUAUUCUUGAGCUGGAGAACGUUCUUGACUUUCCAUUUUUCAGAAUGUAAACACAACUGUCAAAACUACAUCUUUGGAAACCGACUCUUAUCAUGAAAUCAUCAACUUCAUAUACCUUUGUCUAGGACUUUGCUUAAGGCCAUACAAUAACUUUUUAAGAAGACAAACCUUGUUAUUGCCUUUAACAAAUCCUUUAGGUUGCUGCAUAUAAAUGGUUUCUUCCAGAUCACCAUGUAUAAAUGAUGUUUUGACAUCCAGCUACUCUAAUUCCAAGUCUUGUUGAGUUACAAUUGAAAGUAGAAUUCUGAUUGAACAAUGUUUUACAACAGGUGUAAAUACUUCAUUGAAAUCAAUUCCUUCAAGUUGAGAAAAUCCCUUUGCAACUAAUCUUGCUUUGAACCUUAUCUUCUCUUUACCUAGAAUGUCUUCCUUUCUCUUAAACAUCCAUUUUGAUCCAAUUACCCUUUGACUCUUAGUAAUGUCAACCAAAAUCCAGGUUUGAUUAUUUUCUAAUGAUUGCAUCUCUUCAUUCAUAGUUGUCAUUUAAGCUUCUUUGUCUUCACUAUUAAUGGCUUCCCUGUAGUUGCUUGGUUCAUCUCUUUAAAGAUCUUUAGCAACACUUAAAACAUAACAAAUUAAAUAUGCUUCACCAUAUCUGAUUAGAGGCUUGAUAACCCUUCUUUCUCUAUCCCUUACCAAGUUGUAAUUGGUCAAAUCUAUUUAUGUUGGAGCAUUAUCAUCAAGUGAUGUAUCUGUUAUGUCUUCAUGAUUAAUCUCUUGAUCCUCAGGUAACUCCACCUUAAUUUGAACACUCUCAUCGUUGUUGUUUGAAGCAUUGUUAAAUGGAGAAUAUUUUGUGUUUCUGGAAUGUUAUUCGUUUCUGCAGCACUGAAAUGGAGAAUGUUCUCCGUUUCUGCAAAACUGAAACGGAGAAUGUUCUUUGUCAAUCAUGGGCAUUUUUGUUUCAUCAAACACUACAUAUCUUGAUAUGAUGCACUUGAACAUACCAUGGUAAAUUCUACAUGUAACGCCCCGGAUUUUGAUCCAAGACAUUACUUAAAAAUAUUUAUUUUCUUUCAAAAACGGCUUAAAUUUUUUUUUUUUAAAGUAGUUCAUCAUAUAAUAAAUAAAAUUUCUCUAGUAAAUAGUUUGAUUCCAUUUUAAAAAAAAUACCACAAUGCGAUUUAUCGGAUAUUAUUAUAUGUAAAGACAAUUUACUAAUUGUAGAAAAUGUUCGCUUACAAAUAGAAUAAUUCAAAUUUUUCCUAGCAGAAGGACCCCGCCUCCGCAUUUCUAUUAAAAAUCAACGAUGAAAAAUAAAUAAACUUAAAAAUUGUAUCACAACGGUUUUAUCACUACAAACAUUAUUAUUAUUAUUUUAUUAAAGUACCCCUUUUUCCCACGCGUGUGCGCCAAGCAAACGUCAUUCAUGCAACCCUUCAAGAUCGUUACUACCUAAAUGUUGGUGUAAGGGGUCAGUUCAUCCCACGGAAAAAUUAGACCAAAUAAUAAGUUAACAACCAUAAAAUAUAAAUAUAAAAUCUUUUUGUAAUAAAAGAUUUAGAGAAAAUGAUUUUUAUAAUUCAUAAGGUGUAUCAAAAAUUAUAAAAUAUAUCUAAACAACAAGUAGUAACUCACCUUAGAAUCAAUAAUUAUAUAAAAAUAACAAUGGCAAUAAAAUGUAUGCAAAUUAUGCAUGUCCUAAACAUACAUGACCCGGAUAUAGCCAGCCACUAAGGCGUCCACACAGAAGUCACCCAUACCAAUGGGGAAAAUUAACCCAGCCACUAAGGCGUCCACUAAGAUGCAUAUGGUAUGUCAUGACAAUGAUAAUGAAUGUUCGAAAUGUACAAGUCACUAGCCACUUAGGCAACCACAAAGAAAACUAUUCAUUAAUGCAUUCAAAAAUCAAUUUCCUCAUAUUGGUAAAUGAAAAAUAAACCUUUCACCAAUUUCAUCAAAACACGUAUAUUGUUCAUAAAAGUCAAGUUUUAAAAUUUAAAUACUCAAGAAUCAAGGAUUAAAAUUAAAUACAUCAUAAUAAACAUGUUAAUGACUACAUCAUUAUAAAAAUUAUAACUUUAUAAGUAAGUACUCUAAAACAUGUAUGGCAUUGAACGUUUUCACAACAAACAUAUUGAUGAAGGUAUGGUAAUAAAAUAUAAUUCUACAAUUAAUUUCAUCAAAAUAGAGGUAUUACUCAAAAGAAACAAUCAAAGCAUGAUAAUUAAUUUUCUUUACGACGAAAAUAAAAUCGACAUUUUUCUUUUAAUACAUCCAGACAUCAUAUCAAUAUCUUACGACUCGCUAAUUUAAUAUCUAACCUAACUUUGCAUGGGAAAAAAGCCCUUACCUUGGACGCUUUCCUUCCACGUACCACUAUAUAGCCCUCGAAAAUCUCACAGACAUGAAUAAAAGUUUAUAGCUCCGAUCAAAAAGCUAGGGAAUGUAAGGAUGGUUGUUUGAGUGGCUUAGAAAAUAUUUGAGAUAAAUGUAGUGUCGGUAAUGCGUGUGAGUGAUUAUGACUUAUUUUCCUCUACUGUAAGUUUAAUCGUGUCCUAAGAAGUAGAGGUGUAUGUGACUAAUAAAUGAGGCAUAAAGCUGAUAAGAGAGAAUGAAUAAUUCUCUUCAUUGAGUUUAAUUGCACACAUGAAUAAGGAAUUAAAUUGGAAUAAUGUCAUUCAAUGACCAACCGUUAAGAAUUAAUUGGCAUUCAUGUAUUUGUUCUUGCUAGUUACACAUUUGAAUGGACACAAUAUAAAUUAAAUUUUAUAAAAUAUGGUUAUAAAAAUAGUAGUGUGAGUGAUUAAAUUUGACUUAGUCAAAAUUGGCUUGGUCAUUGUUCACUCUAAGACAAAUAUUUCUACGAGUUUUAAUUAGUCAAUAAUAAAAAUCCCAAUAAUAAAUUAUUUAAUAUGAAAAUACUUUAUCAAAUAAUUAAACAUUCAAAGAAUAAUUAUCUUACUAUUGUCACACUAAAUUAAUAAAAGGAUAAACAAAACUAAUGAUUCUAAAUUAAUUAAUUAAAAAAAAAGAGGAUGUUACAAUACUUACCCCCUUAAAAUAGUUUCGUCCUCGAAACUAAGAGGUCUCUAAAAGGUAUGGGUAAAGCUCUCUUAUCUUCUCUUCCAACUCCCAAGUAGCAUCCCCAGUCAUCUGGUUCCAAAUCACCUUAACCAACGGAAUUUCCUUUCCCCUCAAAUGUUUGGUAGUUCUGUCGGCGAUGCUUAUCGGUGGGACCUCGAAGGUAAAAUUCUCCUUCAAUUGAAUAUCAUCUGGCGCAAUAAUAUGGGAUGGAUCUGCAAUGUACUUCCUCAAUUGUGAUACAUGGAACACAUCAUGUAAAUUAGCUAAAUUCGGUGGUAAAGCAAUUUGAUACGCCACUGGACCCACACGUCGAAGAAUUUGAUAUGGUCCAAUAAACUUCGGAGUAAGCUUUUUAGACUUCAAUGCCCUACCAACUCCAGUAGUAGGCGUCACUCUCAAGAAUACAUGUUCAUCCUCCUGAAACUCCAAGGGUCUCCUAUGUCGAUUAGCAUAACUCUUCUGCCUGCUAUGUGCUGUUCUCAUCUGCUCUUGGAUCUGACGCACCUUCUCUGUAGUCUGUUGCACCAGCUCUGGCCCUACGAUUAAGUUUUCGCCAUCCUGAUACCAACACAAGGGAGUUUGACACUUGCGCCCAUACAAAGCCUCGUACGGGGCCAUACCGAUGCUUGCAUGAUAGCUAUUAUUAUAGGUAAAUUCGACAAGAGGCAAUAGAUCAUCCCAACUUCCUCUGUUAUCUAAUGUACAAGCUCUUAGCAAAUCUUCUAAGGUCUGAAUAGUCCUUUCAGUUUGGCCAUCGGUUUGAGGGUGGUAAGCAGAACUCAAUCUCAAUUUAGUACCCAAUGCCUCAUGCAAUGCUCCCCACAAACGAGAAGUGAACUUUGGAUCUCUAUCUGACACAAUGCUAGAUGGUAUCCCGUGUAAUCUAACAAUUUCCGCAACGUAAAUCUCUGCAAGCUUAGAUACAUUGUAAGUAGUCCUUACAGGUAUGAAAUGUGCGGAUUUUGUGAGCCUGUCAAUAAUCACCCAAAUGGAGUCAAAUUUCUUCUGAGUCUUAGGUAAUGCCACCACAAAGUCCAUAGAUAUGCUAUCCCAUUUCCACACUGGUACAUCUAAUGACUGCAACAAUCCAACAGGUUUUUGGUGUUCAACCUUAGCCUUUUGGCAAGUCAGGCAAGACGCCACAUAUUCCGCCACUUGUUUCUUCAUUCCUGGCCACCAAAAUCUUUGCUUCAAGUCUUUAUACAUCUUUGUAGUACCAGGAUGAAUACUCAGUUUGCUCUUGUGGGCCUCAUCCAAAAUGGUUUUUCUCAACUCUGCAUUAUCCGGCACACAAAUACGUUUAUUACACCACAAAAUGUUAUCUGGACCCAUUUGAAAUUCGGGAGCCUUGCCGGUCUCAACCAAUUUUCGUCUCCCCUGAAUAGUCUCAUCGGUCGCUUGAAGGGCUUUUAUCUCAUUCAUUAGUUUAUUAUCUACAAUGAUCAUUCCACAUUGUACUUUUCCCGACAAAGAAUCCAUAUUAAGAUCCAAGUCGCGAAAAUUCUCUAACAACUCUAAUCCCUUCAUUUUUAUGGAUGACAAAUGGGCCCGCUUCCUACUCAAGGCAUCAGCCACCACAUUGGCCUUUCCUGGGUGAUAGUGCAACGUGAACUCAUAAUCCUUGAUGAACUCCAUCCAUCUCCGCUGUCGGAUAUUAAGCUCCUUCUGGUCGAACAAGUAUUUCAAACUUUUAUGGUCACUGUAUACAUCAAAAUUGCACCCAUACAGAUAGUGCCUCCAAAUUUUUAGUGCAAAAACUAUUGCAGCCAACUCCAUGUCAUGCGUGGGAUAAUGUUUCUCAUGCACCUUCAACUGUCUUGAAGCAUAUGCUACCACCUGUUUGUUCUGCAUAAGUACACAACCCAACCCUUGUAAAGAAGCAUCACAAUAAACUUCAUAUGGUUCUUCUGGUUGUGGUAACACCAACACCGGUGAUGUAGUUAGCUUCUCUUUCAUCAUCUGAAAACUCCUUUCACAUUCCUCCGUCCAUGCGUAAAUAUGAUUCUUCCUUGUGAGUUGUGUCAACGGCGCUGCAAUCUUGGCAAAAUCCUCAAUGAAUCUUCUAUAAUAUCCAGCCAAGCCCAAGAAACUUCUAAUCUCUGUGACGGUCUGUGGUUGUUUCCAUGCCACCACAGCCUCUACUUUAGUUGGGUCGACAGCGAUACCUUCCUUUGAAAUAACGUGUCCCAAGAAUUUCACCUCCUCCAACCAGAAUUCACAUUUCCCCAAAUUAGCAUACAAUCUCUUGUCCUUCAAGACUUGCAAAACUUGACGUAGGUGAACUUCAUGUUCCUCCAGGCUCUUAGAAUAAAUCAAUAUGUCAUCAAUGAAGACCACUACAAAUUUGUCUAAGAAGGGGUGAAAUAUACGAUUCAUGUAGUCCAUGAAAAUAGCUGGUGCAUUGGUGACACCAAAAGGCAUCACCAAAUACUCAAAGUGUCCAUAGCGAGUCCUGAAUGCAGUUUUAGGAAUGUCUUCUUCCUUCACCCGAAUCUGAUGAUACCCCGACUUCAAAUCAAUCUUAGAAAAUAUCAUUGCUCCUUUGAGUUGGUCCAUCAAGUCAUCAAUGCGUGGCAAGGGAUACCUAUUUUUGAUGGUGACUUUGUUAAGUUGACGGUAAUCGACACAGAGUCUAGACUUUCCAUCCUUCUUCUUCACUAGGAGUACUGGUGCUCCCCAAGGUGAGACACUCGGUCGUAUGAACUGUUUAGAUAAAAGGUCCUCCAACUGAUUUUUCAACUCUGACAAUUCCGAUGGAGACAUUCUAUAUGGUGCAAUAGAUAUAGGUCCUGUACCCGGAGUCACAUCAAUUGAAAAUUCAAUAUCACGAACUGGGGGUAAUCCUGGUACAUCCGGCGGAAAUACCUCUGGAAAAUCUUCGACCACAAGUAUCCCGUCUACCCCCACCUCUAGCUUCGUACCGACUGAGUUGAGGGAAACACACUUCCGAACUCCCUCUUUCAAAGAGAAGUUCAAUUUAUUGGUAUCGAGGAAUCGAGAAACACCUGGGUCUGGGAAUAUCACAGACUUACGAGCACAAUCCAAUAGAACAUAAUGGCUUGACAACCAAUCCAUUCCAAGGAUCACUCCCACAUGCUUGAGGGGAAUACAAAUCAAAUCAACGUUGAAUCUCAUAUCGAACACAAUCAACGGGCAUUGCAAGCAAGCCGUAUUACAUUUCACUGAUUCGGUAGAAGGUAGGGUAACCACCAAAUCAAACGGCAAAGUAGUAAUAGUAAGUUGGAGCGAAUCCACCCAAUCCAAUGAAAUGAAUGAGUGUGUUGCCCCCGAAUCAUAAAUUACAUUAAGUGAUUUUCCAGCAAUUAAACACUCACCUUGGAUAAGCUCAGAGGAAGAUGGAGUUUCCUCUCCAUUGAUGUGGUAGACACGUCCCUUGGCAGUAGGGCGUACAACAUUGUCGUUGAUAUUGUUGCGGUUGACAGCUCUAUCGUCCUUCCGUUCAGGGCAUUCAUUUGCAAAAUGGUCUGGUUUCUGACAAAUGUAACAAACCCUUGGUCUGAUUGGACACUCAGACAUCUUGUGUCCCUCUCUGUUGCAGCGAAAACACUUAACAGGGUACGCCUGGUUCUGACUUGGAACUUUUGGCCCUUGACCUUCCCCGUUUUGAGGUCGAGGUUGAUCUCUAGCAUUCCCCAGUGGUCGGGCAUAUGGCUUGUAUUGUUGAUGCUGCUUGCCCCUAUUAUGUUGGUCGUUAUGCCCCUGUUUUCAAAUAUUAACAUUUAGAGGUAGAUAUUCACAUUUAGAGGCCAAACUUAUGACUCUAAUGAUAUGGAUGGAUUUAAAUCUCUACCUGAGGUCUGAUGGGUCCACCUACAACACCCCUAUUCAGACGGCUCUGUUUCAUCUGCUCCACUUUCUUGCAUUUCUCCACUAGUACUUGAUAUUGGCGUAUCUCCAAGGGCCCCACUAACUCCUUAAUUUCAUACCUAAGCCCACUUUCAAACCUCUCGCACAUGUAUUCUUCAUCUAUCUGAUUUAGGAAAUAGCGGAAGUGCUUUGCUAGGGACUCGAACUUUGCCGCAUAUUCCGCUAUCGUGAGAUUCCCUUGAUACAACUUCAGAAAUUGGGCCUCCUUCUCAGCCCUAGCACUUUUCGGGAAGUAUUUUUCUAGGAACUUAUUCUUGAAAGCCUCCCAGGUUAGCUCUUCAUGAUUUGUCUCCAUCAUUUUCUUCGCACCUCGCCACCAGUAUUCAGCUUCACCAAUCAUCAAAUAGGUUGCAUACUCUACUUUCGCAUUGUCAGAGCAGUGUAAGAUCUCGAAGAUCUUCUCGAUUUCUUGCAGCCAAAGAUCAGCCUUGUCGGGGUCAUGUUCCCCUUUGAAUUUAGGCGGAUCUUGUCGACGAAAUUCAUUCAAUGCUCUUGCUGCACUGGCUGCUUCAUCCCUCUGAUCCCUCUGUGCAUCUCGUUGAGCCUGGAUCGCAGCUUGUUGGGCCAUUGCUGCGGCCAUAGCAUAUCAUAAAAUGUUUAUUGCUUGAUUAAAAUUAUUUCUAAUCAUAGGAUCAAGAAUUUAAAACAUAUUUUUCAUCAUAAUUAUUCAAAGAAAUUAGACAAUUAAAUUCACACAAUUGAAAUUUAAGUCAUUAAUGACAUAAAAUAGUUUGAAAAUCAAGCCCUUAGUACAAAAAGAAGUAGAGAGUUUAAAAUAAAUAAAAUAAAACAAUCAUACGAUGAAUAAGUAAAAAUCAUAAAGAUUAUAAAAUGUAACAACUUAAAUAAAAUAUAAAAGACAAUGCCAAUAAAAGCAUGCAAGUAGUUAUAGAGAUUUCUGGUUUGAAAAAUUUAAAUAACACUAUUAAACCAAAUAUUUAAAACAUAUAUUUAAUGACAAAAAUCAUGGAGGUUAUACAAUUGAUGACACAUAAUAGAAAUUUAAGUAAAAUUUAAUAAUUAGAAAACCAAGCAAUUAACAUAUUUAAUGACACUUAAUAAGAAUUUAAAUUUCUGGUUUGAAAAAUUUAAAUAACACUAUUAAACCAAAUAUUUAAAACAUAUAUUUAAUGAUACAAAUCAUGGAGGUUAUACAAUUGAUGACACAUAAUAGAAAUUUAAGUAAAAUUUAAUAAUUAGAAAACCAAUAAAUUAACAUAUUUAAUGGCACUUAAUAAGAAUUUAAGUAAUUCUUAAAAAUUCAAAUUCAAGAAGGUUACACAAUUAAUAACUUAAUAAAAGUUUAAGUAAUUAAUAAAAUUCAAUUUCAAGAAGGUUACAUAAUUAAUGACAUAUAAUGGACAUUUAAAUAAUUAUUAAAACUCAAAUAAUUAGAAAAUUAUACAAUUAACAUGAAUAACAUAUCACAAGAAAACAUGCGACAUACACGAAGCGUCCCAUCCCACCAAGGUCCGAGAAAUAGUGCUCUGAUACCACAAUGUAACGCCCCGGAUUUUGAUCCAAGACAUUACUUAAAAAUAUUUAUUUUCUUUCAAAAACGGCUUAAAUUUUUUUUUUUAAAAGUAGUUCAUCAUAUAAUAAAUAAAAUUUCUCUAGAAAUAGUUUGAUUCCAUUUUAAAAAAAAUACCACAAUGCGAUUUAUCGGAUAUUAUUAUAUGUAAAGGCAAUUUACUAAUUGUAGAAAAUGUUCGCUUAAAAAUAGAAUAAUUCAAGUUUUUCCUAGCAGAAGGACCCCGCCUCCGCAUUUCUAUUAAAAAUCAACGAUGAAAAAUAAAUAAACUUAAAAAUUGUAUCACAACGGUUUUAUCACUACAAACAUUAUUAUUAUUAUUUUAUUAAAGUACCCCUUUUUCCCACGCGCGUGCGCCAAGCAAACGUCAUUCAUGCAACCCUUCAAGAUCGUUAGUACCUAAAUGUUGGUGUAAGGGGUCAGUUCAUCCCACGGCAAAAUUAGACCAAAUAAUAAGUUAACAACCAUAAAAUAUAAAUAUAAAAUCUUUUUGUAAUAAAAGAUUUAGAGAAAAUGAUUUUUAUAAUUCAUAAGGUGUAUCAAAAAUUAUAAAAUAUAUCUAAACAACAAGUAGUAACUCACCUUAGAAUCAAUAAUUAUAUAAAAAUAAUAAUGGCAAUAAAAUGUAUGCAAAUUAUGCAUGUCCUAAACAUACAUGAUCCGGAUAUAGCCAGCCACUAAGGCGUCCACACAGAAGUCACCCAUACCAAUGGGGAAAAUUUAACCAGCCAUUAAGGCGUCCACAAAGAUGCAUAUGGUAUGUCAUGACAAUGAUAAUGAAUGUUCGAAAUGUACAAGUCACUAGCCACUUAGGCAACCACAAAGAAAAAUCAUACAUAUAUAACCAGCCACUUAGGCAACCACAAAGAAACUAUUCAUUAAUGCAAUUCAAAAAUCAAUUUCCUCAUAUUGGUAAAUGAAAAAUAAACUUUUCAUCAAUUUCAUCAAAACACGUAUAUUGUUCAUAAAAGUCAAGUUUUAAAAUUUAAAUACUCAAGAAUCAAGGAUUAAAAUUAAAUACAUCAUAAUAAACAUGUUAAUGACUACAUCAUUAUAAAAAUCAUAACUUUAUAAGUAAGUACUCUAAAACAUGUAUGGCAUUGAACGUUUUCACAACAAACAUAUUGAUGAAGGUAUGGUAAUAAAAUAUAAUUCUACAAUUAAUUUCAUCAAAAUAGAGGUAUUACUCAAAAGAAACAAUCAAAGCGAAAAUCUCACCAAGAUGAAUAAAAGUUUAUAGCUCCGAUAAAAAAGCUAGGGAAUGUAAGGAUGGUUGUUUGAGUGGCUUAGAAAAUAUUUGAGAUAAAUGUAGUGUCGGUAAUGCGUGUGAGUGAUUAUGACUUAUUUUCCUCUACUGUAAGUUUAAUCGUGUCCUAAGAAGGAGAGGUGUAUGUGACUAAUAAAGGAGGCAUAAAGCUGAUAAGAGAGAAUGAAUAAUUCUCUUCAUUGAGUUUAAUUGCACACAUGAAUAAGGAAUUAAAUUGGAAUAAUGCCAUUCAGUGACCAACCGUUAAGAAUUAAUUGGCAUUCAUGUAUUUGUUCUUGCUAGUUACACAUUUGAAUGGACACAAUAUAAAUUAAAUGUUAUAAAAUAUGGUUAUAAAAAUAGUAGUGUGAGUGAUUAAAUUUGACUUAGUCAAAAUUGGCUUGGUCAUUGUUCACUCUAAGACAAAUAUUUCUACGAGUUUUAAUUAGCCAAUAAUAAAAAUCCCAAUAAUAAAUUAUUUAAUAUGAAAAUACUUUAUCAAAUAAUUAAACAUUCAAAGAAUAAUUAUCUUACUAUCGUCACACUAAAUUAAUAAAAGGAUAAACAAAACUAAUGAUUUUAAAUUAAUUAAUUAAAAAAAAAAGGGUGUUACACUACACAACUUGUAAUCUUUCACUCCUUUAGGAUAUCCAAUGAAAACACAUUUGAUUGCUCUAGGAUUCAAUUUAUCUUGCCUUAUGUGAGCAAAUGCUAAGGAACCAAAUACCUUCAUAUUUGAGUAGUCAGCUGGUUUGCCAUUCCACGUCAUAAUUGGUGUCUUAAAUCCAAUAGCUGAUGAAGGACAUCUAUUGAUCAAAUACAUUGUUGUAACUAUAGCUUCUCCCCAGAAUGUUUUAGGCAGCCCUGCACUCAAGAUCGUACAUCUGACCCUUCCCAAGAUUGUUAUGUUCAUCCUUUCAACAAUUCCAUUUGUUGAGGAGUGCCUGCAACUGUUCUAUGUCUUUGAAUACCUAAGUCACUGUAAUACUUAUUAAACUGCUCUAAAAGAUACUCCAGGCCAUUGUCAAUUCUUAAACAUUUUAGCUUAGUUUCCUUUUGAGUUCCAAAUUGCAUAUGCCAUUCUUUAAAUUUCAUAAAAGUGUCACUUUUAUUUUUAAUGACAUAGAUCUAUAAUUUCCUAGAAUAAUCAUCAAAAUAAGCAUAUUCAAAAGGUCUAGAGGUGUUGUGUUGGCUAACACCAAAACUGCCCCUCUUAGACUUUCCUAUAUACAAUGAUCACAAAAUUCCAAUAUUUCAAUUUUGUCACCAUUAAGCAAAUUUUGUUUUGAUAACUCAAUUAAGCCUCUUUCACUUACAUGUCUUAACCUCAUAUGCCACAUUCUAGUAGAUGAAUGCAAAUAAGAGCUAGCAACUGAAGCUUGUGCAAUUAUAGUAAAACCUUCUAAAAUAUACAAGUCAUUUCUUUUAAUGUCUUUAACAAUGAUAUUAUCUUUAUUAACAAUAGUCAUAAUACCAUUCUUUAUGUAUGUUGAAUAUCCUAGUAUGUCAAACAUGCCAACAAAAAUUAAAUUUCUUUUUAAUUCAGGUAUGUACCUAACAUCAUUCAGCAGUACCUCCUUACCAUUGAACAUUAUGAAUCUGAUUGUUCCCUUGCCUUGGACUUUACAUGAUUUUCUGUUGCCAAGCAAAACGACUCCACCACCACGAAGAUCUAUUGAUUCAAAAUAAUCAUUUCUUAGACAUGUGUGGAAAGUACAACCUGGGUCUAAUACCCAGUUUUUUUCACCUUCAGAAUUUGAAAUCAUCAAUGCCUCUUCAGAUUCAUAACCAGCAUCAACAAGUGUAGCAUUUCCUGAAUCUUGCGAGUUCCUUGAUUCAUUUCUUUCAGGGAAAUAUUUCUUCAAAUGUCCAUUCUUGUGACAAUGAAAGAAUUUAUACUUCCCUUCAAAUUUUGAUUUUGAAUUGGACCUAAACUUAUUUCCAUUUGAUCAUUUCUUGUCAAUUCUUCUUCUGGUCACAUUCAGACUUUGAGCAUGAUUAUCAUUCUUGAUCUCAAGUCUUUUAUAGUUUUCCUUUGUCCGUAUCGAGGCAUGCACUUAUUCAAGAGUAAUUGUUUGUUCUCUUCCAAACAUAAUAGCAUCCUUGAAAUGUUUAUAUGAACUUAGCAGGGCUCUAAGCAAGAUCAGAGCUUUGUCUCAAUCAUCUAGUUUGAUUUCUAAAUCAUCAAGGAUCUUGUUAAAAUCAGCAAGUUGAACUGUGACAGAUUUCUCUUCAUCCAUUUUAAAAGAGAACAAUUGUUGCUUCAAGAGGAGCCUAUUUGAAAUUGAUUUAGUCAUGUAGAGAGAUUCAAGUUUAAGCCAUAAGGCUGCUGCUGUUGGUUCCCUUUCAACUUCCCUCAAAGCUUUGACUCCAAGACACAAGAUGAUAGUGUUCUUUGCUUUUUCAAUCAAUUAUUCUUUUUCUCGAGCAGUCAUUGUUGCUGGAAGAACUCAUUCACCCUUCAAUGCGUUCACCAAGCCUUGAUAUACUAGAACAACAUGCAUUUUUAUCUUCCAUAGACCAAAAUCAUUUGAUCAAUUGAAUUUUUCAAUGUCAAAUUUUGUGGUUCCAAUCAUUGUUUAUUCCUUUUCCCACAGACGGCGCCAAUUGUUAAAAUAAUAUUGGGAUCUGCAACAAGAAUUAACCAACACAAUAGAAGACAAACAAUUGCAGAGAAAAAAACGAACAUGGAGAACGUUCUUGGUUUUAUGCUCAAAACGGAGAACAUUCUUGAACAGAACUGAAAACCAGAAAACGAAGACUGUGUAUCGUUCUCCUUUCUGCAGUUUUGAAAACUAGUUUUCAAACAAUGUAAACGAAAAUUAAAGAAAGAUAAUGGAAGAAUAACACCCAAAUUUACGUGUUCAACCUCAAUUGAUGAGACAUACGUCACAGGUAAGCAAGCAAGACAAUUCUCAUCAUUCAUAAAACAAAUCGAGUCAAAAACUCUCUAUAGCAUAAAACCCGAGAGGAACAAUCUACAUAGAAAGAUGAUUUUUAUUUAUUUGAACAUAUAAUACAAAGAUAGAGUCUCUUAUUAAAAUACCAUAGAAAGAGUUUCAUCCAUACACAAUUUUUUCACUAACACUUCAUCUCCAGAUACAUUCUUUAGAGACCCCAUGAAAGCAUGGCUUUAUCAGCUCAAAUAAGGAAAUGGCAUAUAUAGUAAUGUCUUGGUAACAAACAAGCAUGCUUUAUUUUCUUAUCAUUAAGAUAACACACAUGCAAUUCGCUUCUUAGCAACAAGGCACAAAGGAUGUUUCUUGUGUUUAACAAGUCCUGGAAGACCAUCAAUGUCUAUGUCUUCACUCUUUACUCCUUCAGGCAUUUCCCAAUCAAACAAAUAGAGAAGAUUAGCAAGUACAAGCUCCACUGUAGCAACCGCCAUGUUUAAUCCAGGACAAACUCUUCUGCCCGAACCGAAUGGAAUCAACUCGAAAUCUUGUCCUUUUAAAUCUAUAUCACUAUUUAGGAAUCUCUCCGGAUAAAAUUCUUCUGGAUUCUUCCACGCUUCGGGGUCCCUAUGAAUUGCCCAAGCAUUCACAAACACCAGUGUCUUAUCUGGAAUUUCAUAUCCAUCAAUGUUACACUUUUUCAUCGUUUCUCUUGGUAAAAGUAUGGGCAAUGUUGGAUACAAUCUCAUCGAUUCUUUUAUAACUGCCUUUAGAUAUGGAAGCUUUUGAACAUCUUCUUCCUCUAUAAAACCCUUCCCUUUGAACGCUUUUCGAAUUUCGUCUUGUACUUUCUGCAUCACUCUUGGAUUCUUCAUUAGUGCAGUCAUAGCCCACACUACUGCGGCUGCAAUUGUGUCUGUUCCCGCCAACAACAUAUUCUGAAAUAUAUUGACAAAGAUGUAUCAUAAUUAGAAAUAUAUUGAUAAAAAUAAUAAUUAAUAUAAUUAAAAAUUUAAAGAGAGUUCUAUGAAAAGAGAUAAAAAUAAAAAAUAAAAAAUUCUCAAAAGAUUUUAUAUUUAGAGACGGGAGGAUGACUAUAAUAAUAAUAAUUGACGACAUCAACCAACCACUAUAAAGAUAGGUUUUUAUUUUACUAUAUUAUUUUGAUUUAUGUCUGACGUCAUAGAUAUUAAAGUAGUGCAUUUCUAUUUAUACCACCGUCACUAAUAAUGAUCCAUAGAUCAUUUCUAUUUUUUUAUGAGUCAAAUCGUAUCAUAUAUUAAUUUAUUAUUAGUGAUACUAAUUACUAACUCCAAAUACAAGAUGUGGCAAAGGCUAUAAAACAAAGAAGAUAGUACAAGACAGACAGUGCCACAAUUUGUAAUGAAUACACAACCAAACAACAAAAGAGACAAAUUAAGAUCGUUUUUAUUUUAACUAGUAAUAAAUAGAAACAUAGAUCAUCUACUGCAGGCCAGAGAGAUCCAAAUUCUAACAAAUAGAUAGAAAAAAAAAAAUUAAUGUAAGCAUAAAUAACAAUGAAAAUGAAGAUGUCACUAAUUGUAUCACUAAGUAUUAUUACAAAGUGCUAAAUUUGGAGAUCACUUAAUUUCCUUUUUGGAUAAUUAUUUCCCGCCAAUAAUUCAACUUUACGUAUUAGAGAUCUAUCAUUAAUUAAAUUAAUUCAAUAGUUUGAAAGUAUCACGAAUUACGAUGUAGCAUAAGUGGUUGGUGUAACAGGUAGCUAGUAUUGUAAUUUUUUAAGAAAUAAAUUCGAUUACUAAUCAUAAAUGGGUUAGAUUUCGUCAAAGAGGCAUGAAGAGUUUUACAAAAAUAAUAAAAGGUUUUGAAAAUUUAACUUAGACUAAGGCUUAAUUAGAGUGAAGAAAACAAAAAUAAAAUAACCACUAACCAUGAUCAAAGGUUUGAUAUGUUCAGAAGUGAGAUCCAUUGACCAGUAAGGAUCAUUCUUCAAUUGAAUCAAUGCAUCAAUUACAUCCAUUUCAUUUGGAGGCAACUUUUUCCUCUCUGGAUCAAGAUGUUCAUCAACAACACUUUGAAAAAAUACAUCUAAAUUUUUGAACGUUCUCUCAAGACGACCUGUCAUUCCAGUGAACUUAUCAACGAUUCCUCCAAGAAAAGGCAAAUAAUCGGUGUAAAAGAAUGAAAUCGUCAAGUUUUGGGCUUCUUUAAGCAAAUCAUGAAACAUGCUACGCUCAUUUCCUUCCUCUUCAUACCUUCGACCGAACGCGGUCCUACAAACUAUGGUGCUUGUGAGACAAGUAAGAUGCUCAUGAAGGUUCAUAGCUUUGUUGCUAGAAGCAUAUUCUGAUAUUUUCUUUAUCAAUUGAGUUACUUCAUAUUUUCUAACUGAGUAAUACAUUGAGACACGUUUUACACUAAGAAAAUGGAUGAAUGAAAACUUUUUGGUGUGUCUCCAAUAUUCUCUAUAUGGUGAAAAAACUUGGUCUAAUCCAUCAUAGGAGAAUUUCAUAUGGCUGAUUAAAGCAGGUCGGUUACAAAAUUCGAUAUCGUGUGUUUUCAUUACUUCUUUGGCCAUUUUAGCUGAUGAAACAACAAGUGUUUGUCUUGAACCAAGUUUAAGGAAGACUAAAGAGCCAUAUUUCUUUGAGAGUUCGUGGAAGUCUACACCAAGAGCUGAACUAUCAAGUUGGUGUAAGUUUCCAAUUAAGGGAAGGCCUUUAGGUCCUGGUGGAAGAUUUGGUUUCUUAGAUGUUUUGUGUUUUUUGAAGAAGAAGAAUAGCAAGAGAGCAAAAGCUAGAAGAACAAGUGGUAACAUGUUUUGGUUUAUGAAUUAGGGACAACUAUCUAGCUAUUGUAAUCUCAUGUGCUUCUGUGUUUGUGUCUAAAUAUGCAU